Molecule: ribosomal RNA, 625 nt
Filed under: Pleurotus floridanus
Lineage: Eukaryota; Fungi; Basidiomycota; Agaricomycetes; Agaricales; Pleurotaceae
Description: eukaryotic LSU rRNA
Rfam family: 5.8S ribosomal RNA (bases 268-421)
Source: RNAcentral
UUCUUCCGUAUGGGGUGACCUGCGGAAGGAUCAUUAAUGAAUUCACUAUGGAGUUGUUGCUGGCCUCUAGGGGCAUGUGCACGCUUCACUAGUCUUUCAACCACCUGUGAACUUUUGAUAGAUCUGUGAAGUCGUCUCUCAAGUCGUCAGACUUGGUUGCUGGGAUUUAAACGUCUCGGUGUGACUACGCAGUCUAUUUACUUACACACCCCAAAUGUAUGUCUACGAAUGUCAUUUAAUGGGCCUUGUGCCUUUAAACCAUAAUACAACUUUCAACAACGGAUCUCUUGGCUCUCGCAUCGAUGAAGAACGCAGCGAAAUGCGAUAAGUAAUGUGAAUUGCAGAAUUCAGUGAAUCAUCGAAUCUUUGAACGCACCUUGCGCCCCUUGGUAUUCCGAGGGGCAUGCCUGUUUGAGUGUCAUUAAAUUCUCAAACUCACUUUGGUUUCUUUCCAAUUGUGAUGUUUGGAUUGUUGGGGGCUGCUGGCCUUGACAGGUCGGCUCCUCUUAAAUGCAUUAGCAGGACUUCUCAUUGCCUCUGCGCAUGAUGUGAUAAUUAUCACUCAUCAAUAGCACGCAUGAAUAGAGUCCAGCUCUCUAAUCGUCCGCAAGGACAAUUUGACAAU